RNAcentral lists this ribosomal RNA (511 nucleotides) under uncultured bacterium. RNAcentral describes it as "partial 16S ribosomal RNA". The record is from RNAcentral.
GGAGUUAGCCGGUGCUUCUUCUGCGAGUAACGUCACAGAUGUAAGGUAUUAACUUACACCCUUUCCUCCUCGCUGAAAGUGCUUUACAACCCGAAGGCCUUCUUCACACACGAGGCAUGGCUGCAUCAGGGUUUCCCCCAUUGUGCAAUAUUCCCCACUGCUGCCUCCCGUAGGAGUCUGGGCCGUGUCUCAGUCCCAGUGUGGCUGAUCAUCCUCUCAGACCAGCUAGGGAUCGUCGCCUAGGUGAGCCUUUACCUCACCUACUAGCUAAUCCCACCUGGGCUUAUCCAUCAGCGCAAGGCCCGAAGGUCCCCUGCUUUCCCCCGUAGGGCGUAUGCGGUAUUAGCAGUCGUUUCCAACUGUUAUCCCCCACAAAUGGGCAAAUUCCCAGGCAUUACUCACCCGUCCGCCGCUCGUCAUCUUCAAAAGCAAGCUUUUGAAAUGUUACCGCUCGACUUGCAUGUGUUAGGCCUGCCGCCAGCGUUCAAUCUGAACCAAGAUCAAAUUCUGA